Molecule: ribosomal RNA, 722 nt
Filed under: Serratia marcescens
Lineage: Bacteria; Pseudomonadati; Pseudomonadota; Gammaproteobacteria; Enterobacterales; Yersiniaceae
Description: partial 23S ribosomal RNA
Rfam family: Bacterial large subunit ribosomal RNA
Source: RNAcentral
GCCCCAUAAUCUGGGGUGAGGACAGUGUCUGGUGGGUAGUUUGACUGGGGCGGUCUCCUCCCAAAGAGUAACGGAGGAGCACGAAGGUUAGCUAAUCACGGUCGGACAUCGUGAGGUUAGUGCAAAGGCAUAAGCUAGCUUGACUGCGAGAGUGACGGCUCGAGCAGGUACGAAAGUAGGUCUUAGUGAUCCGGUGGUUCUGAAUGGAAGGGCCAUCGCUCAACGGAUAAAAGGUACUCCGGGGAUAACAGGCUGAUACCGCCCAAGAGUUCAUAUCGACGGCGGUGUUUGGCACCUCGAUGUCGGCUCAUCACAUCCUGGGGCUGAAGUAGGUCCCAAGGGUAUGGCUGUUCGCCAUUUAAAGUGGUACGCGAGCUGGGUUUAGAACGUCGUGAGACAGUUCGGUCCCUAUCUGCCGUGGGCGUUGGAAGAUUGAGAGGGGUUGCUCCUAGUACGAGAGGACCGGAGUGAACGCACCACUGGUGUUCGGGUUGUCAUGCCAAUGGCAUUGCCCGGUAGCUAAGUGCGGAAAAGAUAAGCGCUGAAAGCAUCUAAGCGCGAAACUUGCCUCAAGAUGAGUCUUCCCUUGGACUUUGAGUCCACUGAAGGAACGUUUAAGACUAAGACGUUGAUAGGCUGGGUGUGUAAGUGCAGCGAUGCAUUGAGCUAACCAGUACUAAUGAUCCGUGAGGCUUAACCUUACAACACCGAAGGUGUUUUAG